UCUUUUCCUAUCAUGUUUGCUCACAGAAUGAAACCUACUCUCAAAAUCCCUUAGCUCUGUUCUGAGAUCCCUGAUAAACUUCGAUGGUGUUGGAAAUCCAUCAAUGUCAGCCUCCAAGUUUUCUACUAAUGCUUCUAGACCAUGUGGCCUCUUAGAAACAUCCAACUGAUAUACAGCAACAACAUGCAGGAAGACAAAGGCAUCUCCAGUGGGACUGAGAGCAAUCUUAACGCAGUGAACAGCUUGAGAUUCCAGAUUGCGGUGUUGGCAUUGGUAUCCCUAUUCUUCCCUUCAGAAGAAAAUAUUCUUAAAAUGGGACUACAGAGAGGAGACUUGCUAGAGCCAAGUUUCCAGAAGCGAAACCUGGCCCAACAGUGCUGGUUUUGACCAGUGCUUCAUCAAGAGCAGAUCAGAGGAGCAAGUGGAAGAAUGAAAUAAAAAUAAAGGAAGACAUCUGAUUAACGGGGAGAAGGGAGACGUUUCUUUAGGAAAAUGAUUAAAGUCUUAGCAUAUAGUCUAGACAAAUAUGAAAGAGAAGAAGUUCUUGGAGGCCAAAUUCGACAUAUCUGAAACUGGACAGGAGAAGCACAUCUAUCUAGCUGCUCCUGUCUGAUGAAGGGAUUGCUAUACAACUGCUCUAAGAUCAGAAAAGAUAAUUGAUCUCAGGGAGGAGAUGAGUGUGAUUCUCUAGAGGGUUCCUGAAAUUAGGAAACUAUUGAGGAAUAUCUCUAUAAAACUGCAGAUAGAUAUUCCCUAAUAAGAACACAUGGGUAAGCACCCCUUGAGGACUGAGACAGCUACGCACAAUAUUUGGACAAAUGUGAAUGAGGAAGCCUGAGAAGCCAGGAUAAAAUACUGAAGGCACUGAGUCGCAAAUUGGAAAAUUGUACAGUUAUCAUAGAUGGGGAAGCAGGAAUUGCCUGUGCCUGACGAAACCUGCCAGGAAAAUUUAUGGAAUUAUGAUCCCCCCCAGGGGAACUCACAGGGCAAAUAAGAUGUACUACUAGAGAGCCAGGCAAGAUAAAAAUAAAUUGAGGUCAGUCCUGAGUUGGAUAUUGAUCUGAUGAGAUGAUGCCUCCUGAGUGGUAUUAUACAACUCAAGCAGGUGAAGAUAAACAAGCUUUGUUUGAAAAUGGCAUGCUUUGAAAACUGUUCAUUCCUUGACUUGGCAUCAGACACUCUGGAGAAACCCAAAAGAAAAAAAAUCUAGAGGAAUAAGUUAGAAAGACAAAUGUCUGGGCCAGAAAAGCAAUGUGAAAGCAAACAGAAGGAAAGCACCAUUCCAGCAAGCAGUGUUCAUACUAUUCUCAAUAGGGAAUGAUAAGGUCAAUUAAGAAACAGGCCAGACUGCUGAAAUCUCAGCUAAGAUUCAGAUGGGAAAAGAAGGACACAGAAUAGUAAAGGCAGGGCCUUUAAGAAGUAAUUGGGUCAUGAGGGUUCUGCCUUCAUGAAUGGAUUAAUCCAUUCAUGGACUAAUGAAUUAAUUGGUUAAUAGAUGAAUGGGCUGUCAUGGGAGUGGAACUGGUGGCUUUAUAAGAAGAGGAAGGGAGACCUCAGUUAGCACACUCAGCCACCUUGUCAUGGGAUACCCUACACUGCCUUGGGACACUGCAGUAAGUCCCCACCAGCAAGAAGGCCCUCACCAGAUUCAGCCCCUUGAUGUUGAACUUUCCAGCUUCCAGAAUCAUAAGAAUUUUUUCUUUAUAAAUUACUUAGUUUCAGGCAUUAUGUUGCAAGCAACAGAAAAUGGACUAAGACAAUGCAGAAAAUACAUGGAACUGAAGGAAAUGUUAAAGGUCUGGAACUUUCAAAAGCAGAAGAAAAACAGGUUUUCCACGAGCAUAAAACUGAGAUAUGGAAGCGAUUUGUUUGUUUAGUGACUUUCCUGAACUAAUUUGGUAAAGUCUACAUUCUUUAUUGUGUGUGGCUGCUGAAGUCUUUGCUCAAUGAGCUUAGAGAUUAGCUAAUGAUUGCAUAGAGACUUCCUUCAAUGCUUUGAACCAAUAAAUUUCCCAGCCUUUGCAGAGGAACUCUGUGUGCAUAUCAGGACAUGCUUUCAAUGCUCAAGCAGUAGCCUUUACUUCAGACUUCAGCAGAACUUCAAGAUAAGCCAGAGAUGAGAGUUUGGAGUGUUCUCAAGGUUUUUUUCUGGCUGUGUGUGCAGUCCUGGGCAUGUGGACAGCCCUGAACUUAUGAAUGGGCUUCUAAAUUUCCAGGAUGUUGUCAGCGCUUUUCAAAGCUCCUUAUGGACUUUGCUUUUCCUUUUAAGUUUCUUGGUCAGUUUGUUGAUUGCCUAUUAUUGCCACCUCAGGCAGCUGUGAUAGGAAACAAUUGCUGCUGAUUGUUUUUGCUAAAUGUCCUCAAGGAAAAGGUUGUUCACACUAAGUGAGCUCCAGUCAGGUCAUAUAAAGACCUGCUAGUGAGAGUUUCCAAGAAACUGCCAGAGAGGUCAAAUAAUGACAAUUCUCUGAAUUGGUGAUUUUGGAGAGUGCCUGUCUGCUUCCUCCAGUGGCUGCUAGGCUUCUAGUUUUUGCUGUGAUUACAAACUGUUUAUUUUCAAGCCUUCUGGGUAGCUAGGAGAGGGGAAUGGGAAUAGGGCAAGUUAAAAUAUCACAUAGCUUGCUGUUCUUACUGAGUCAGCUCUUUUUCUUGAAUAAACACUCCUUGGAUUGUUAUGAGCCUUUGGUUAAUUUCCAGAGUUCUGAAAAAGUUGAUUUUUACAAUUUGCUAGUGUUCUCAUUGCUUUUAUGGAGAAACAGAUUUUCAGAGGUCCUUAUUCCACCAUUCCCACUGACAUUCCUCUUACAGAGUUGUUUUUCCAGUUCCUGAACCAUGUGGCUAAAUCAUUAGCCAUUGCUCAAGAAUCGAGGUGGAUCCAUUUCUUUUACCAUAUUUCUGUCUGGCAAAGUGGAUAUCAAAUGUGCUAUUAAAGUUUUGCCCAGGAAUGGAUUCUUCAAUAUUUUUCACACUUCAGAGUGAGUCAGCAAUAUUUCCUUCUGGCUCAGGCUAGAAUACUGUAUAGACCAUCUGUAAACCAGACCUAAGUUUUAUCUUCCUUAGUCAAAUAGUCACAGGAAACUUCCAUGGGGCUGUUGGUAUGGAUUGAGCAUAAACAACAAUGCAGCAAGAGUGGUUACCAUGGGAGUCUAAGCCCAUGCAACUUACUUGUGGCUUCAAAAUCUGGUUGAGCCUGAUCUUGGAUAAACCACGUGGAUUGCUGCUGUGUACAUCCAACUUUACAGUUGGUGGGUCAGAUAAUGAUGAGAAGUUAAUGUUGGGUAGGUCAGACACCAAGGUCACUUGAUACCCCUUGGUUGGAUGCUCAGUCUCUAUUAGGGUAUAUUAGUGAGCCAAAAGCUAUGUCUCAAAAUCAGAAUAAUUAUUGACUGAAGAAGGCAAGAAAGCAUUUUAAAUUCUGUGAGUGUGUCCUUGAAUUCUCCUAUUGGAGUUUACCAGAAGUCUCAUUGUGUUUCUAUUUGCUACGGCACCCUGAGUACCAUUGUAACUGCUGGACCAUGUGGCCCAAAUGGCAAAACACUUUGUAUUGCAUCCUGUACUUAUCAUAUAGCUUUCUCUUGCUCUGGGCCCCAAUAAAUAAUGGCAUCCUUAUGUGUUAUUUUAUAAAGGUAACAUGCUGUAUUUUGCCUCUAAAAUUUAAAAAGUCCCAACAAUUAUUGUGGCUCCUUAGUGGUGGGUUGCACGAAGUAUAGAAAUUUGUCUUUCACUUUAAAGGGACUAUGCCACCAUGUCCCAGACCCAUGCAUCCCUGAGAACAUCACUUAAGAGAUACCCGGCUCAGUGGGAUUUAUCUUUCAUCCCCUGACAUGCCUGUGUCUUACUUAGAUUAUUCCAGAGUAGAAAGUACUUUUUAUUUUCCAAUUUCAGGCAAGACAUCAUCAAUAUAGGGACCAACGUGGCACUCUAGAAUGUCUGGAUGAUCAAGUUCCCUCAGGCUAGAUAAUGAGCAGGAGAGUUAAUACAAACCCGAGAGUAUGUACUGCUGUACAGACUGCACAUCUGUACCAAUGCAUGAUCUUUUCUUAACCAUUUAAGAAAUUUAAAUCAAUGAAUUAUUUUAAAAAGGUAACACAGGUGUAUGAUGCAAAAUUUAAAAUGUGCAAAAGCAUUGGCAGAUGAAAAUGGGUUUCUCUGCUACUCUACCCCCUCAUCACUCAGUUCCCCUUUCUAGGGGUAACCAGUAUUUUUAAUUUUUUGUCUAUCUAUCCAUAAACAAUGCCUUAAAGAAAAGAAAAAUACAUACACACAAAUACAUAGUUAUAUAUGUGUAUAUAAACAUAACUGUCUAUAUAUACAAACAGACACAUACACACAUAUAUAUAUGACACUACAGCUACUAGUUCUGUAAUAUUUGCUGAACUGUUUGCCUCUCUUUCCAAUAAAGAUACUUUAUCACAAGGUUAAUAAGAAUUUCAACACAGUAAAUGUUUAUGUUAGACCAAUAAAACACAUUGCUGGGUAUCUUUCAUUAAGCUUUCUGGAUCUAUUCUCCAUGUUUUCUACCUUCCUCUGUGUGAGGCUGAGAGGCUGACCCAUAUGGUCUAUACCAGAGGUUGACAAACUUCGGUCUGCGGGUCAGAUCUGAUCCAUGGUGUCAAAUCCAGUUACAUCCAUUUAAGUAUCAUCUAUGGCUGUUUUCAUGCUACAUCUGCAGAUUUUAGUAUUUGUGACAGAGACCAUAUGGCCUAUAAGCUUAAACUAUUUGUAAUCUGGCCAUUUACAGAAAAGGUUUGCCAGCCCCUGGUCUAUAUCAUUGGCUCCCUUGCCCUCUAGGUUCUGGUUAGGUUUAUCACUUUGGAGCAUGGCAGGAGUUUGGAGGGAGAGAGAAAGGUGAGUUGGGGACUUUAUUCCAGUUGCCUUCUUGUGUGGUUGUCACAGGAUGGCUCCAUUUCUGGAUUGUAAAUCUCAGCUUCUCUCAGAAGCCUCUUUCCAGUCAGCCCUCUCUGCCUUGGGGUUCUGGUAAUCUCACCCCAACCUACCCCUUCAGGCCCAGGGAUAUGCCGUUUUGCUGUCACUGGUCUGGGGCCCUGCACUGUCCUCUGUGGUAGCCUUGCCCAUGCCUAAACAAAUAGCCCUUUAUUAAGCUAUUCUUAAUUUCUCUUUUAAGAAUACUGGGUGUUCUUUCUGGGACUCUGAUACAGCAGGUUACAAUUUUAUGGAUAUAUUGUCCCCUGAAUUUUAUGAAAAAAGGGAAAAUACUGAAAAUAAUUUCACAAAAACGGUAACAGUGGUUAUCUGUGCAUAGUGAGAUAUCAAUGACUUUUAUUAUAUUCUUCUUGCUUUCUGUGGAAUCUAUAUGAGGAAGAAUUACUAUGUUUGUUCUAAGGAUAAAGCUAAAUAAAGAACAUAAUAAAAGAAAAAAAAUGACUGGA
This 5390-nucleotide long non-coding RNA is filed under the name Homo sapiens (human). Its description in RNAcentral is "non-protein coding lnc-OSBPL10-5:1". The record is from RNAcentral. Lineage: Eukaryota; Metazoa; Chordata; Mammalia; Primates; Hominidae.